Molecule: long non-coding RNA, 590 nt
Filed under: Fukomys damarensis (Damara mole-rat)
Lineage: Eukaryota; Metazoa; Chordata; Mammalia; Rodentia; Bathyergidae
Description: lncRNA (ENSFDAG00000028509.1)
Source: RNAcentral
GCAGAGCGUGGAUUCUGAGUCUCAGCUGGUAAACAGGAUCUGGCUGCAGUGUUUGUCUAGGCAUUAAAUAUGGCUGGUUGUUUUUUCUUGUUUUCAACAAAUAUACCUUUGUGAUAAGAACUUGCCCUCAAAGAAACAAACACGCAGAAAACCAUAUGAAGAAAGAUGGAUUCCCCAGCAUCCCAUCCUCCUCCCCUGCUGAGACCCUUCUGCACCACUCAGAGGGUGGGACAGAGAGGGGCAGAGUCACCUCCUUCUCUUUGUUCACCUGUAAAUGCCUCACCACCCUCAUGAUCAUCUGGGCUUCAGCUAAAGAGAUCUCAGAGAUUGGGGACCUCAGAGAGAGAGGCAGUGGGAGGCAGCAUGGAUCACCACAGUCUGACCCGGAAGAAGAACCUGGUCUACUUUUGGCCCACUCAACUGUGACAGCACCAUGGAUGACAGAGCUGUGUGGCCAAGGAAGCUAGGAAGUCCCCAGCCCUACCCUGAGAAUAACCAGUUUUGCCAGGGUAGUGGAGAAAGUGUGGCAGCCAGAAAAAUGGAAAUGACACUGCGGUGUGGAUAGACAACUAGUAAUUUCGAGAGUGGAC